UAGAGUUCAUGCCCUCUAGGGUAGAUCUCCCACCCUUGUCUAUAUCACGAAAUGUUGCUUUGGCAGGCCGGAUGUUUUCGCACCCUAGGAAAUUCCUAGUGCGCCUGCCAGAGGACCCCAAACUCUGAAUAUUAGUGUCGUCUGAGUACUAUAUAAUAGUUA
RNAcentral lists this unclassified non-coding RNA (162 nucleotides) under uncultured Helotiales. RNAcentral describes it as "sequence contains ITS1". Lineage: Eukaryota; Fungi; Ascomycota; Leotiomycetes; Helotiales. The record is from RNAcentral.